This 860-nucleotide ribosomal RNA is filed under the name Kingdonella bicollina. RNAcentral describes it as "12S ribosomal RNA". The stretch from base 407 to 849 matches the Rfam family "Microsporidia small subunit ribosomal RNA", at positions 752 to 1303 of the family's 1311-position model. The record is from RNAcentral. Lineage: Eukaryota; Metazoa; Arthropoda; Insecta; Orthoptera; Acrididae.
UUGUUUGUUGACUAUUGUUUUCAUGUAUUUUUUUUUACUGAUGAUGUCCUAUUCAUUAUUUUAAAGUUUUAUUCUUGCUUGUUUAUUCACUUUUUCUUUGUAUUAUAUGCAAGUUUUGUUUUAACUAAAUGUUCUGUUUUGCAGUAAUUUAAUUUAAUUAUCAAGUGAUUUUGGAAUUAGCAAUUGACUUAGUGUCGGCAUAAUUCGUGCCAGCAGCCGCGGUUAUACGAUUGAUGCGAGUGAAUAUUUUUGGUUUAGCAGUUGUUUAUAUUGUUAUAGGGUUUGAAUUUGAAUUUAUAAGGUGAAAUUUGAAAUUUUUGUAUAUUUCUUUUUAAGAAUCUGUGAAAUUUAAAUAAUAAACUAGGAUUAGAUACCCUAUUAUUUUAAGUGUUAAUUAUACUUACCAGGGUAGUAUUAGUUAAAGUCUUAAAACCCAAAGAAUUUGGCGGUAUCUCAUUCCAUUCAGAGGAAUCUAUCCCAUAAUUGAUAGUACACGAUUAACUUUACUUAAUUUAUUUGUUUGUAUAUCUCCGUUAUCGGAAAAUCUUUUUAGAGUUAUAAUUUUCUAAAUUUAUAAUUAUAAAGUAUUUCAGGUCAAGGUGCAGCUUAUAAUUAAGAGGAGAUGGGUUACAAUAAAUUUUGGUUUAUAACGGAUUUAAUAUUGAAAUAUUGUUAAUGAAGGUGGAUUUGAUAGUAAUUUAAUAUAUUUAAUUUAAUUGAUAUUGGCUCUGAGGUGUGUACACAUCCCCCGUCGCUCUCAUUAUUAAUAUUUAUCAAUUAUUUUGUUGGUAAUAAUUAAGUUAGAUGAGAUAAGUCGUAACAUAGUAGAUGUACUGGAAAGUGUAUCUAGAAAGAGUUUC